UCGCUUCACGAUGAGCCUGCGGCCUAUUAGCUAGUUGGUGAGGUAAAGGCCCACCAAGGCAACGAUAGGUAGCCGACCUGAGAGGGUGACCGGCCACAUUGGGACUGAGAUACGGCCCAGACUCCUACGGGAGGCAGCAGCUGAGAAUCUUCCACAAUGGACGAAAGUCUGAUGGAGCGACAUCGCGUGAGGGAUGAAGGCCUUCGGGUUGUAAACCUCGGAAAUUAUCGAAGAAUGAGUGACAGUAGAUAAUGUAAGCCUCGGCUAACUACGUGCCAGCAGCCGCGGUAAUACGUAGGAGGCAAACGUUGCUCGGAUUUACUGGGCGUAAAGGGUGAGUAGGCGGAUUUAUAAGUCUAAGGUGAAAGACCGAAGCUCAACUUCGGGAACGCCUCGGAUACUGUAGAUCUUGGAUAUUGUAGGGGAUGAUGGAAUUCUCGGUGUAGCGGUGGAAUGCGCAGAUAUCGAGAGGAACACCUAUAGCGAAGGCAGUCAUCUGGGCAUUUAUCGACGCUGAAUCACGAAAGCUAGGGGAGCAAACAGGCUUAGAUACCCUGGUAGUCCUAGCCGUAAACGUUGUACACUAGGUGCUUCUAUUUAAAUAGGAGUGCCGUAGCUAACGUCUUAAGUGUACCGCCUGAGGAGUAUGCCCGCAAGGGUGAAACUCAAAGAAAUUGACGGGUCCCCGCACAAGUGGUGGAGCAUGUGGUUUAAUUCGAUGAUACGCGAAAAACCUUACCUGGGUUUGAAUUGUUAGAUGAAUGAUUUAGAGAUAAGUCAGACCGCAAGGACGUUUAACAUAGGUGCUGCAUGGCUGUCGUCAGCUCGUGUCGUGAGAUGUUGGGUUAAGUCCCGCAACGAGCGCAACCCUCACCCU
This 877-nucleotide ribosomal RNA is filed under the name Brachyspira pilosicoli. RNAcentral describes it as "bacterial SSU rRNA". It matches the Rfam family "Bacterial small subunit ribosomal RNA", at positions 215 to 1111 of the family's 1533-position model. The record is from RNAcentral. Lineage: Bacteria; Pseudomonadati; Spirochaetota; Spirochaetia; Brachyspirales; Brachyspiraceae.